AUGAACGCUGGCGGCGUGCUUAACACAUGCAAGUCGAACGAAACACCUUAUUUGAUUUUCUUCGGAACUGAAGAUUUGGUGAUUGAGUGGCGGACGGGUGAGUAACGCGUGGGUAACCUGCCCUGUACAGGGGGAUAACAGUCAGAAAUGACUGCUAAUACCGCAUAAGACCACAGCACCGCAUGGUGCAGGGGUAAAAACUCCGGUGGUACAGGAUGGACCCGCGUCUGAUUAGCUGGUUGGUGAGGUAACGGCUCACCAAGGCGACGAUCAGUAGCCGGCUUGAGAGAGUGAACGGCCACAUUGGGACUGAGACACGGCCCAAACUCCUACGGGAGGCAGCAGUGGGGAAUAUUGCACAAUGGGGGAAACCCUGAUGCAGCGACGCCGCGUGAGUGAAGAAGUAUUUCGGUAUGUAAAGCUCUAUCAGCAGGGAAGAAAAUGACGGUACCUGACGAAGAAGCCCCGGCUAACUACGUG
RNAcentral lists this ribosomal RNA (480 nucleotides) under uncultured bacterium. RNAcentral's name for it is "partial 16S ribosomal RNA". It matches the Rfam family "Bacterial small subunit ribosomal RNA", at positions 29 to 507 of the family's 1533-position model. The record is from RNAcentral.